RNAcentral lists this transfer RNA (90 nucleotides) under Plantactinospora endophytica. RNAcentral's name for it is "tRNA-Pro". The record is from RNAcentral. Lineage: Bacteria; Bacillati; Actinomycetota; Actinomycetes; Micromonosporales; Micromonosporaceae.
CCGUCGGCCGGCCCGGCAAGCCUGUCGGUCGGUUCGGCGAGGUCGGCGUCACCGCCGACGUCCUGUGGUUCCGCCGCCACGGUCGGCCGG